This is a long non-coding RNA of Danaus plexippus (monarch butterfly), 1363 nucleotides long. RefSeq lists it as uncharacterized. The transcript is spliced from 2 exons. The record is from RefSeq and is a predicted model, not a curated record. Lineage: Eukaryota; Metazoa; Arthropoda; Insecta; Lepidoptera; Nymphalidae.
AGACCGUCUUACAUACAUUACCAAGCCGAACGGUACCGUGUUGCUGAUGCUACAGGGAUACACGUUCUUCAGAGCGAGCAAGCAGAGUUAUGUUACGAUUACGAGAUGUCGACAUCUAGACGCGGGAAAGAUAGGAUAGUCUAUAAAGGGUUCACCUACAGCUCUAAGCAGAACAACAAAUAUUGGUACUGUUCCACUCUCAACACCUGCAAAGCCAAACUUCACCUGGACCAUAGUCUGAAGAUAAUCGGGGCUUUUACUAAUCACAAUCACCCCCCACCCUCCUUAGUUAGAUUAAGAAAUGGGCAACUUAUUUUGAGGUAGUUUGUGAAACGUCGAUGACGUCAUACUCUACUUUGUGUAUCAGCUUACCUCUAAGAGGAUUCUGUAAAGUAAAAAUUAGUUUUUACAAUUAUGUAUUCAUUAAUGACACAACAUUUCGUUCCAAAUUAUAGAAUAUGAAAUUAAAAAUCAUUGUUUCACAAGUAUUACUGAGAUAUUACUUUACAAUGUAGGAAAAAUAUGUCGUUUUAAUACGCGAAUGAUAUUUUAGUACAUUGUGAUUCUGGUUACUAGCCACAAGUUUGCAUUGUCACAUUAAAUAUGAAAACUGGAAACGCUCCGUGUGCAGUGUGUCGAUUGAAACUUGUGAUAAGCACACUGAACGUUGAACGUAAGGCUUUAGAACUAUGGUCAUGGUUCACGCUAUUCUUAGUACAUAUUUAUUUCAAUUUUAAUGUAAUGAUAUCAUUUUACAUAGUUUUGUACAAAUAUUUCCUUUAUAGUUUAUCAUAGUACAUUCUCGUGUAAUUUUUUUAUACAUAGACUGGCUAUAGUAUCUAAGCUAUUCGUGUUUACACAUUUAAAUGGAAUUUAGUGUUUCGGAUACUACGCGUUUUUUUAUUAUUUUAUAUACAUAAUCCAGACGUUUCGGUUUCUUUAGAGCAGCCGUGAUUACUAUGAGGCGAGAUGAAAGUGUCGCUGAAACUUAGAUAUUAAAUAGUAGAAAACUCGUUAUGUGCGAAAAAUUUGUUUCAUUUACACCGGGUAUUUGGUCAUCGCGGUCUGUUUAUAAUAAUAAGAUUAUAGUAAAGAAGUGAUAGCGAAUACUUUCAUAUGUAGAUGGUAUCCGAAACCAUUAGUAAGACUUUAUGUUCCAAUAUGAUGUUAUGGUGAGUGUACGUAAUAAUACCUAAUUAGGUUACACUUUGAAGAAUUUAUAUUAUAAUCAAAAGCAAUUUAUGUCGAAUAUACAUUGAAGGCUAGAUAUUAUUCUAAAGUAGAUUAUAUCAACAUAAUAAGUAUUUUUAGAUUCUAUUGAUAGAACACAUAACUUAGAUUUUUUAAUAAAAAAUGUAAUACA